Molecule: ribosomal RNA, 180 nt
Filed under: uncultured Pseudomonas sp.
Lineage: Bacteria; Pseudomonadati; Pseudomonadota; Gammaproteobacteria; Pseudomonadales; Pseudomonadaceae
Description: partial 16S ribosomal RNA
Rfam family: Bacterial small subunit ribosomal RNA
Source: RNAcentral
CUACGGGAGGCAGCAGUGGGGAAUAUUGGACAAUGGGCGAAAGCCUGAUCCAGCCAUGCCGCGUGUGUGAAGAAGGUCUUCGGAUUGUAAAGCACUUUAAGUUGGGAGGAAGGGCAUUAACCUAAUACGUUAGUGUUUUGACGUUACCGACAGAAUAAGCACCGGCUAACUCUGUGCCAG